RNAcentral lists this ribosomal RNA (253 nucleotides) under uncultured bacterium. Its description in RNAcentral is "partial 16S ribosomal RNA". It matches the Rfam family "Bacterial small subunit ribosomal RNA", at positions 524 to 776 of the family's 1533-position model. The record is from RNAcentral.
UACGUAGGGCGCGAGCGUUGUCCGGAAUUAUUGGGCGUAAAGCGCUCGUAGGCGGCUUGUCACGUCGGGUGUGAAAGCCCGGGGCUUAACCCCGGGUCUGCAUUCGAUACGGGCUAGCUAGAGUGUGGUAGGGGAGAUCGGAAUUCCUGGUGUAGCGGUGAAAUGCGCAGAUAUCAGGAGGAACACCGGUGGCGAAGGCGGAUCUCUGGGCCAUUACUGACGCUGAGGAGCGAAAGCGUGGGGAGCGAACAGG